CCGGUUGUCAUUCUGGCCUUGCAGCCCAUUAUCCCAAUCAUGUCCACUUUCCUUCUGUCGCUUUGGUGCUGCCAUCUGGCCCCCACUGUUUUGGGUUCCUAUCAGUCCAGAUAAGGUUAAGGAGCCCAGUCCCAUAACAGCAUCUCUUCACUGUGACCCAUGAUGGAUAACUACCACUGAGCUUCUUGGAGAUGUCAAUGGUACCCUCACCACUGACCUUCUUACUGCCUUGGAGAUGGAUGCAUCCACUGGGCUCUUACAAAGAACACAGUCAGAUGGUGAGUUCUCAGCUCCUGGCAGUUGACAAAGAUGGUUCACAGCUGUGCCUUAAGAGAGAUGCUGUGGCCAACUGACCUGAACUGGUUCUGACUGGA
This 374-nucleotide long non-coding RNA is filed under the name Cervus hanglu yarkandensis (Yarkand deer). RNAcentral describes it as "lncRNA (ENSCHYG00000009013.1)". The record is from RNAcentral. Lineage: Eukaryota; Metazoa; Chordata; Mammalia; Artiodactyla; Cervidae.